Molecule: unclassified non-coding RNA, 836 nt
Filed under: Hevea brasiliensis (rubber tree)
Lineage: Eukaryota; Viridiplantae; Streptophyta; Magnoliopsida; Malpighiales; Euphorbiaceae
Source: RNAcentral
UUUUUUUUUUAGCUUUCUGCCAUUGUGUAUUUGUGUUAGCUGGUAUAAUCUAUGUCAAUAAAAUAAAUCGGACAACAUAAUAUCAGCUCUUAAAAGGUGAAUAUCAUUAUAUGAUUUUGUGUUCUAACCAUGAAUUGAAGUAGCUUUUCUCCCUCUUAGCAACAUUGCUAUCUGGAGCAGCGGCAAGCAUAAGUUCCUCUAGUUUUAGGGCUAAUCCAUUGGAGAUAAGACACUAAGGGUCUUAACUCUAAUAAAUAGGAAGAAGAAGAAGAAGAUAAUGGUCAUCUUUUAUUUGAUGAUGGCGAGGAUAAAUUUUUGUGAAACCUAGCUUGGAGAGUAGGAUUUGUGUUUGCUAUUGUAAUCUUUAUGUUUUUGUUGAAUUAUAGUGGUGGUUGCCAUCUUCCUUGCACUCUUGUGUGCAUGUGACUUUUGCAGAACUAAUCUUAGUUGUCAUCUUCUUCGUGAUAUCCAUGUAGUUUGCGAGUAGAAUUUGGAGUUUGAUAUCUUUAUUUUGUGUUUUCUGUUUUUUUUUGGCACUUCUUGGUGUACAUGAUUUAUGUUGAACUAGUCUUACGGUGUAUUUGUUAUUGCUAUUGAGAAAAGCGCUAUCUCAAAAUUAUUUAUUAGACCUUUAAAAUAUGACAUGUUUUGGUCAUAAAAACUUCAAAACAUAAAUCAGGUUUUUCCGAAGUUUUUUCAAACAUUUAAAAUGGUGUUUUUCUAAAUAUGUAUUUUCAACCUCAGUCACAAUCUUACUCUUAGUAUUAGACAUACACUAUGCAUUUAUUAUAAAAUUUGUCUAUACACAUUUUAUUGAUUUAUGCUUUGUAUGCCUA